RNAcentral lists this long non-coding RNA (244 nucleotides) under Musa acuminata (dwarf banana). RNAcentral describes it as "long non-coding RNA (MACU_LNC010470)". Lineage: Eukaryota; Viridiplantae; Streptophyta; Magnoliopsida; Zingiberales; Musaceae. The record is from RNAcentral.
CCCACUUGAUCUCGCAAUGCAUCCUCCAAUGCAUUAUCUCAAGCGAGUUUAGGCGAUAACUCCUCGUCGCUCGCUCGGUCCGUUAAGCUUUGUGGAGUUGUUGUUUUAACGUACUCCUCAACAUGUGCGGCCCGUUGCACAUGAUUCUCCCUCUGGAGAAUCGGGACUUAUCCCUCCAAGGUAUUUGUCCCGUUGGAGCAACUUCUCUCUUCGCAUCUUUCCUUAUAGAAGUUUCGGAGACCAC